Molecule: small RNA, 126 nt
Filed under: Marmota monax (woodchuck)
Lineage: Eukaryota; Metazoa; Chordata; Mammalia; Rodentia; Sciuridae
Source: RNAcentral
GCCAGGUGCGGUGGUGCACACCUGUCAUCCCAGCAGCUGGGGAGGCUGAGGCAGGAGGAUCACAAGUUCAAAGCCAGCCUCAGCAAUGGGCAAGGUGCUCAGCAACUCAGUGAGACCCUGUCUCUA